UGGUUCGCAACAAGCCGAUCAAUAGGGAAGGAGGUGAGAAUCCUCCACUGUCCCGCAGCUGUAAUUCGUUCUUUUGCAGACAAACAAUGGAUGCCAUCGGCAUCUGACAGUCACUGAGCAUACUUGGGAAGACGUUUGUCAUGCAGACGAUAAGUCAGAAGACCUGCCAUCAUUC
RNAcentral lists this non-coding RNA (175 nucleotides) under uncultured Prevotella sp. The record is from RNAcentral. Lineage: Bacteria; Pseudomonadati; Bacteroidota; Bacteroidia; Bacteroidales; Prevotellaceae.